This 484-nucleotide ribosomal RNA is filed under the name uncultured bacterium. RNAcentral describes it as "partial 16S ribosomal RNA". It matches the Rfam family "Bacterial small subunit ribosomal RNA", at positions 28 to 507 of the family's 1533-position model. The record is from RNAcentral.
AUUGAACGCUGGCGGCAUGCUUUACACAUGCAAGUCGAACGGCAGCGCGGGCUUCGGCCUGGCGGCGAGUGGCGAACGGGUGAGUAAUGCAUCGGAACGUGCCCAGUAGUGGGGGAUAGCCCGGCGAAAGCCGGAUUAAUACCGCAUACGACCUGAGGGUGAAAGCGGGGGACCGAAAGGCCUCGCGCUAUUGGAGCGGCCGAUGUCGGAUUAGCUAGUUGGUGGGGUAAAGGCUUACCCAGGCGACGAUCCGUAGCUGGUCGGAGAGGACGACCAGCCACACCGGGACUGAGACACGGCCCCGACUCCGACGGGAGGCAGCAGUGGGGAAUUUUGGACAAUGGGGGCAACCCUGAUCCAGCCAUGCCGCGUGCGGGAAGAAGGCCUUCGGGUUGGAAACCGCUUUUGUUCGGGAAGAAAUCCUCUGGGCUAAUACCCCGGGGGGAUGACGGUACCGGAAGAAUAAGCACCGGCUAACUACGUG